This 274-nucleotide signal recognition particle RNA is filed under the name Carlito syrichta (Philippine tarsier). RNAcentral describes it as "Metazoan signal recognition particle RNA (ENSTSYG00000026524.1)". It matches the Rfam family "Metazoan signal recognition particle RNA". Rfam says of the family: The signal recognition particle (SRP) is a universally conserved ribonucleoprotein. It is involved in the co-translational targeting of proteins to membranes. The record is from RNAcentral. Lineage: Eukaryota; Metazoa; Chordata; Mammalia; Primates; Tarsiidae.
GCUGUAUGGCACAUACUUGUAAUCCCAGCUUCUGGGGAGGCUGAGUCAGGAGAAUCGCUUAAGCCAGGAAUCCUGAGCUGUAGUGUGUUAUGUUGAUUGGGUGUCCACACUGAGUUCAGCUUGAGUAGCAGGAAACUCUCAGGUUGCCUAAAGAGGGGUGAAACGGCCCAGGUUGGAAACAGAGCAGAUCUAAACUCCUAUGCUGACCAAUAGUGGGAUUUCACCUGUGUAGCCAUUGCACUCCAGCCUCGGCAACUAGCAAGACCCUGUGUAU